AUUGAACGCUGGCGGCAUGCCUUACACAUGCAAGUCGAACGGCAGCACGGGUGCUUGCACCUGGUGGCGAGUGGCGAACGGGUGAGUAAUACAUCGGAACAUGUCCUGUCGUGGGGGAUAGCCCGGCGAAAGCCGGAUUAAUACCGCAUACGAUCCACGGAUGAAAGCGGGGGACCUUCGGGCCUCGCGCUUUAGGGUUGGCCGAUGGCUGAUUAGCUAGUUGGUGGGGUAAAGGCCUACCAAGGCGACGAUCAGUAGCUGGUCUGAGAGGACGACCAGCCACACUGGGACUGAGACACGGCCCAGACUCCUACGGGAGGCAGCAGUGUGGAAUUUUGGACAAUGGGCGAAAGCCUGAUCCAGCAAUGCCGCGUGUGUGAAGAAGGCCUUCGGGUUGUAAAGCACUUUUGUCCGGAAAGAAAUCCUUGACUCUAAUACAGUCGGGGGAUGACGGUACCGGAAGAAUAAGCACCGGCUAACUACGUG
Molecule: ribosomal RNA, 486 nt
Filed under: uncultured bacterium
Lineage: Bacteria
Description: partial 16S ribosomal RNA
Rfam family: Bacterial small subunit ribosomal RNA
Source: RNAcentral